UUUCCUACGGGGGGCAGCAGUAGGGAAUCUUCCACAAUGGACGAAAGUCUGAUGGAGCAACGCCGCGUGAGUGAAGAAGGGUUUCGGCUCGUAAAGCUCUGUUGGUAGUGAAGAAAGAUAGAGGUAGUAACUGGCCUUUAUUUGACGGUAAUUACUUAGAAAGUCACGGCUAACUACGUGCCAGCAGCCGCGGUAAUACGUAGGUGGCAAGCGUUGUCCGGAUUUAUUGGGCGUAAAGCGAGCGCAGGGGGUUCAAUAA
RNAcentral lists this ribosomal RNA (259 nucleotides) under uncultured bacterium. RNAcentral's name for it is "partial 16S ribosomal RNA". It matches the Rfam family "Bacterial small subunit ribosomal RNA", at positions 335 to 586 of the family's 1533-position model. The record is from RNAcentral.